AGCCUUAUAGUCAAUAAUGAUAUAAAAUUGCAACUUUUAAGGAGUAUAAGCUAUAUUAAGGCUU
Molecule: transfer RNA, 64 nt
Filed under: Carposina sasakii
Lineage: Eukaryota; Metazoa; Arthropoda; Insecta; Lepidoptera; Carposinidae
Description: tRNA-Cys
Source: RNAcentral